UGCUUUGACCUGACCUCUUUUAAUGUCUCCUUUUCACAGUGUACUGAAAUUCUUCAACAGAUCUCACCCUAUGUUAUCAGUUUCAGACCAUGAGGCUUUUCCAGAAUCAUUGGGGCAGCUGUCUUGACCAUUCUUGAUGGAAGCUUGGAGUCGCUUUCUGAAAUGGACAGAUACUUGGAGUGUUCUGAACUGGAGGGUCCAGAUGUUGACCUGCCAGGAGCAGACAAGGAGCUACAUGGCCUGUAUGCAACAUACCCAAAUUCAGUCCAACCUGGGCAACUUCCACAGAAGCUAGAAGAGUUUAAGUAACAUGCACCAAGACCAGCUGAUUAUAACCAAGAUGAUUUGGUGGAAUGUCAGUUGGAGAGACAGACAUCUGUAUAUCCUUUUCCUGUUCUACCACUUUUA
Long non-coding RNA from Chinchilla lanigera (long-tailed chinchilla), 408 nucleotides. Ensembl lists it as uncharacterized. The record is from Ensembl. Lineage: Eukaryota; Metazoa; Chordata; Mammalia; Rodentia; Chinchillidae.